ACCAAUCACUUCAGGAUCAUCUCUGAACCCAAGGUUGCAACAUCAUCGAACAAUGUCUCCAACGUUUCACAGCCACCGCAACCAAUACUCCCCUCGUGGCUUCACCACAACCGAAUCAACCGACCUUGCGAAUGCAGUCAUGAUGAGUUUCCUCUACCCGGUGAUUGGGAUGUUUGGGGACUUGGUCUACACCAGGAUAUUCGGAACCUUCACAAACGCAAUAGCUCAGCCUUAUCAAAGCCAGAGGAUGAUGCAGCGUGAGAAAUCUCUUAACCGGGUAUCCAUAUUCUUCUUCUUCUGCAUCUUCCUUUGCCUCCUUCUCUUCUAGCUCUCUCUCUCUCCCUCUCCCUCUUGUAUAGUUUUUGAAAUGUAUAUAAACUGUAAACUUUAUGGUAUAACAAGUACAGACACUAUUGUUCCGAGUUAGGUCUCAAAUGGCAGGCCAUUUACUCGCUGUGUAUUGCAUAUCUGAAGACAUAUACGUGCUUGUAUCUAAUCUUUAUGAACCAUAUAUAUAUAUAUAUAAAUAUUUGUUAAAGAAUCAUAUGAACACUUCAUCUUCUAUUCUAUAAGUUGUUCUGUUGUCUGUUUUUAUCAGAUAAAUUAUAUUUCGAGUGGGGUUUGUAUUUAAGGAGAAGAAUGAAUUGGUAUAUUAUUAUGGCUUCAGAAACACAAAAUCCACCUUGUUUGGUCACAUUGCAUCAAGACAUGAAACAUAUAAACAGAAACCGCCUCUAAGUUCAGCUGCAGGCAAAGGGAGCCUAUCUGCAUUGUCUUCGAGUCAGUUUAGACGGCGAAAUAAGUCUGCUAACAAGCCCGCUUAUCCGGUCAGCUCCUAGACCGGGAUUGAUCUUUGACGGAUCACCAACCUUUGAGCAGUUCGGUUUGCCAGCACACCAACCACCAGGUGUAAAACUUCCAUUACCUCUACCGAGGAGCUCUGUGUCAAUCUUGUCCAAGGCAAGAUCAUUGUGUGUGAACUUGCGGGCAAACACAGCUCCGCUUGCAAUCAUCUUCUUUGUAUCACUGAUGUUGAGCAUCUUAGGAUGCUGUUGUGGACGUUUGUCCCAUGAGAUGUAAUGCAGGUCACUGUUAACCACCGUGCUCGAAUACUCUGGUGCAUUGCAUAUCACUGUGUGGAAAUAACCUUCCGGUGUAGAGAGGAAGUUAGUGUAGUACAUUAACAGAGUCCUUGGAAGAUUGUCCCAUCCCCAGAUGCAAUAUUCUACAAAGGAACGAGAUAGGACCAUCCAAGCAGAACCUAGAGUUUCCGGUCAAACAUGUAACUUAGUCACCAACGUUUCCAUAAUCAUUACAUCACUUAAAAAUCUUUAGAUGGUAACUAGGCAUUAGUAGAGAACUAAUGACUAAGUGGAUUAUUUGAGGCAUAUGCAGGACUUAAUUGUUAACAAAUUAUUGAUUUUAUAUAUUUUACAUAAAUUAGAUAUUUUAGUUUUUAGAUUUAAUUAUAAAAUUAUUUUGAUAAUUACAAAAACUAGAUGUACAAAAGAAAAAAAAUUAGAUAGAUUUUGUGGAUUUGAAUUAACAAUUAUUGCUUGAUUUAAAAGAACUAGACCAAUUCAAACUGAUUUAAACGAUUUAGAUUGUUUUAAUAACAUAUUUAAAUAACAUAAAUCGAGUUUUAAGAAAAUCACUAGGAUAAGACCUGCGCUUUGCGCAGGGUAAGUUUAUUUGUAUAUAUUAUCGAUAACUUUCUUUUUAUAUUUGAUUAUUUUAUUUAUACAUAAAUAAUAUGUUUUGUUGAUAUUAUAUCAUUUAUUCCGAUGGACCGGAUCAAUUUUUUUAAAAAACUGUUGAACUAAACUAUAAUUAAUAUAUCAUGGAUUGGUUGGAUUGAACAUUAAAUAAAUUAUGACACAAAAACCUUAGUUUUUUUCCCUGAACACAUUCUUGAAAAAAGUAAACAAUUUGUUUUUACAGUUGAAUUAUUUUGGCAUUUAUCUUCCAUAUGGUUUUGAAAAGUUUCACAUCAACCAUCGAAUUGAUACAUGUCAUUUUAAUGUUUUUAGUCGUAUGCUUAAAAAACUUACAUUUUGUAAUUUACGGUCAUUUAAAAAAAUCAAAAUAUAACAUAUAAGAAAUAAUCUAACAUAUAAGAAAAAAAUAACAUAUAAGGUUUCCUCAUUUUUGUAAUCUAAAGUCAUUUCAAAAAAAAAAAUAUAACAUAUAAGUUUUCCUUAUUUUUGUAAUUUAAAGUCAUUUUAAAAAAUUAAAAUAUAACAUAUAAGAAAAAACAUAUUUUUAUUAUAUGGUUAAUGUGAUUGUUUAAUUUUUUUUAAUAAUAUAAAAUUAAACAAAAAUGAAGAAUGAUAUAAAAAUUGUUAUCAAAUAUUUAUUAUUCAUAGUCAUUACUUGUCUUAUAUAUGUUAAUCAUAUUAUGUAAUUUCGUAGCUUUUAUUUAAGGAAAGAUUACACUUUUCUUAUAUUUUGGCUUAAUAUAAUAUUCCAUAGUAAUUGGAUUUGGACUAACAUUUUUUCAAUUGAUUCUUAAGCUGCCGCGUAAGCUAAAUUGUCAUCCUAAUUAAGUGACACAUAAGCAAAAUUUCUUUUUUUUUAAAUGAUCAUCAGUUAAUAUAUAUGGGAUUAAAAAUAAUUGUUAAAUAAAUUAGUUAUUAUAGAUUUAUAAGAUGAAAACAAAAAAAUAACAAUAUACUAAAUUUAAGACAAAUAUAUGUCAAAGAAAGCCUUUACUUAAGAAUAACCAAUUAUUCAUAUUAACGUCUCAAAUAUCAAGAUCAUAUAAAUAAAAUAAACUACAUGUAUAUAACUAUAUUAUGUAAUUUGCAUAAAACUAUACUACUAUAUUUUAAUUAAUCAGUUUAUUCGGUUUGUAUGGUUUGAUCAGUUUAUAUUCUGAACCAUAUCUAUAUACCACGGUUUCUAGAAAUAACAUAUAUUCGGUUUAUGUGGUGUUACCAAAUAAACUAAUUUUUCUAUUUCGAUUUUGUUCGGUUUUAGUUGGUCCAGUUUUUACCGAAUUGAACAUCAUUAAUUCAAAUUACUAAAUAGUAGAUAGUUUGCAAACAUGUUUCUUGUACUGAAUCGUACGUAAUAUAGUCAAUUUUGUUUUUGUAUUUUAUAAUUAAAUCUAAAAAUAAUUUGUAAAAAUAGAUCUCUUUUUCCAAAGGACUAAACCAAACAGUUUUUUUUUGGCUGAUUGCUAGUUGGAAAGAUGAUGGUUACUUAUCGUUUAAAUAUGAUUAGCUUAUAUGUUAACAUCGUCUAUAAUUACUAUUAACUAAUAUGAUUUGCAUUUACUAUAAUUUUACUUAACUCCCCAAAAAAUAUUUUUAGUUCUUGCCUUGACAAAGUUUUUGCAUCUUAAAUAUAAAUUUUUCAUAUUUUCACUUUUCUUUUACCUCAAGGCAAUUAUAUUGGAUAUUUAUGCAUAAAGUAUUAAGUUAAUAGUAUUGAAAUCUAUAUAUAAUAAAGGAACUAUCAUUUAUGCGUAACUGUCGAUAUUUGGAGUAGAAGAUCCACGCUCUUGGUAGAUUAUUUUCCUAAACAAUGAUUAAAAGUAUUUUAAUAAGGAAACUCUCAUUUAUAUGGUUUCGAGCUUGGUUUAUUUAUACUUUUUAUCAUAUACUUUUAUGUUUGGGUUAGUAUUAGUUUCUCUAGCGAAUUGAUUUUGGACUUACACAUUAUUUUAAAUUGCUUGUCAUGCUGCCACAUAAAAUUAAUUGACAUUUUAAUUAAGUGACACCUAAAUAAUUUUUUUUUAAUUAAUACAAAUUUAAAAUUACAAUCUUUUAAAUUUUUUCGGACAAUAUAUAGGGGAUGACUUGAAGCAAGUUAUAUGGACUCAUGGAUUUGAAUGGGACUCAUGGAUUUGAAUGGUUUCAAAUCGAAAAUCUGAUUUAUUGAUGUCAUCAUUAUUACCUAGCUUUGGUAAUGUAAACGUUAGUAUAUGUAGACGUCAAACAUAUAAUUAAUAAAAAAGAUUUAUGUAAUCAAUAUGUAGAUAUAUCCACACAGAUUACGGCUUGUAAUUAUAGACAUAAUGAAUAUAUGUGCAUGUAGUAGCCUUAUUUGAGCAAGAUCGUUAAUUAUUAACUACAGUACUAGAGAUUCUAACCGCGUUACGCGCGGUUUAUAUGUUUUAAAUUUUAUAUGUGAAUUUUACAUUUUAUAUUACAUGUAAUUUUAUAACUUAGUAUAAUUUAUGUGAAUUUCUUUGUUAUUUUUGGAAGCGAAUUCAAUAAUUUUAAUUGAAAAAAUAUAAAUUUUAUCAUAAAUAAAUAAACAGGAAGAAAAUAAUUCCCUUAUAAUGUACUUAAAUAUCAUUAUAGAUGAUGUUAUUAAUGUGAGUGUUCCAAAAGAGAGAAGAAGAUUAUGUUUUUUAAUGUAAAAUCAUUUUUUGAAUGUUGGAAUAUAUCUGAAUCCAUUUUUAAUAUGUUUUAUGGUGUAAUAUUAAAUUUAGUAAAUUAAAUUUAAUAAUUUGUAACAAAUUAGAAGUAUAUGAAUUAAUAUACGGAGGCAGUUGACAAAAAAAAGAAUAAGGGAUAGGUUAACCAAACUAAUCCAAAGACUGUUUCUUUUUUUGUUUAAACUAAAAAGUGGUUUGUAGAUUUAUUUCGACUUGAGCUUGGCUUAUAUCAUAUAAAUUAAAAUUUUAUAUAGUGAUUAUUGGUUCAUUUUUAAUUAAAACAAAGUAAAAAUAAGUUAACGAUAGGAGUGAAAUUACAAAUAUUAAAUUAUCAUUAUGAGAAUAUAAAUAUUAAAUUAUGAGAAUAUAAAUUUAAAAUCAAAUAACAAAAAAUAGUAUAUAAAUAAAAAUAUUAAAAUAUGUUAGCAUAAUAUUUGACGCUAACGAAAGUGGCUGUUUUGAUUGCAACAUCUGCCUAGACACAGCCCAUGAUCCGGUUGUCACACUAUGCGGACACCUUUUCUGCUGGCCUUGCAUUUACAAAUGGUUACACGUUCAGCUAUCAUCCGUCUCAAUCGAUCAGCACCACAACAACUGCCCUGUCUGCAAAUCCAACAUCGCCGUCACCUCACUGGUUCCUCUCUACGGAAGAGGCAUGUCUUCCGGGUUUGUCUCGAAGAAACAAGACGCAGUAAUACCACGGAGACCUGCUCCACCAAUCACUUCAGGAUCAUCUCUGAACCCAAGGUUGCAACAUCAUCGAACAAUGUCUCCAACGUUUCACAGCCGCAACCAAUACUCCCCUCGUGGCCUCACAACAACCGAAUCAACCGACCUUGCGAAUGCAGUCAUGAUGAGUUUCCUCUACCCGGUGAUUGGGAUGUUUGGGGACUUGGUCUACACCAGGAUAUUCGGAACCUUCACAAACACAAUAGCUCAGCCUUAUCAAAGCCAGAGGAUGAUGCAGCGUGAGAAAUCUCUUAACCGGGUAUCC
RNAcentral lists this long non-coding RNA (5381 nucleotides) under Brassica napus (rape). RNAcentral describes it as "long non-coding RNA (BNAP_LNC000285)". Lineage: Eukaryota; Viridiplantae; Streptophyta; Magnoliopsida; Brassicales; Brassicaceae. The record is from RNAcentral.